Molecule: ribosomal RNA, 492 nt
Filed under: uncultured bacterium
Lineage: Bacteria
Description: partial 16S ribosomal RNA
Rfam family: Bacterial small subunit ribosomal RNA
Source: RNAcentral
AGUGAACGCUGGCGGUAGGCUUAACACAUGCAAGUCGAACGGCAGCACAGUAAGAGCUUGCUCUUACGGGUGGCGAGUGGCGGACGGGUGAGGAAUACAUCGGAAUCUACUUUUUCGUGGGGGAUAACGUAGGGAAACUUACGCUAAUACCGCAUACGACCUACGGGUGAAAGCAGGGGAUCUUCGGACCUUGCGCGAUUGAAUGAGCCGAUGUCGGAUUAGCUAGUUGGCGGGGUAAAGGCCCACCAAGGCGACGAUCCGUAGCUGGUCUGAGAGGAUGCUCAGCCACACUGGAACUGAGACACGGUCCAGAAUCCUAGGGGAGGCAGCAGUGGGGAAUAUUGGACAAUGGGCGCAAGCCUGAUCCAGGCAUACCGCGUGGGUGAAGAAGGCCUUCGGGUUGUAAAGCCCUUUUGUUGGGAAAGAAAAGCAGCAGGUUAAUACCCCGCUGUUCUGACGGUACCCAAAGAAUAAGCACCGGCUAACUUCGUG